UGGGGAAUAUUGCGCAAUGGGCGAAAGCCUGACGCAGCAACGCCGCGUGAGUGAUGAAGGCCUUCGGGUUGUAAACCGCUGUCGUAGGGGAGAAAGGGUCGUUGAAGAAACGACUUUGAUCUAUCCUAGGAGGAAGUCCGGGCUAAGUUCGUGCCAGCAGCCGCGGUAACACGAGCCGGACAAACGUUAUUCGGAAUUACUGGGCUUAAAGGGUGCGUAGGCGGUGCGGUAAGUGCGGUGUGAAAUCCCACGGCUCAACCGUGGAAUUGCGCUGCAUACUGCCGUGCUAGAGGGAGACAGGGGUAAGCGGAACUGAUGGUGGAGCGGUGAAAUGCGUUGAUAUCAUCAGGAACACCGGUGGCGAAAGCGGCUUACUGGGUCUCUCCUGACGCUGAGGCACGAAAGCUAGGGUAGCGAACGGGAUUAGAUACCCGUGUAGUCCCUGAGCGGGCUGGCAAGGCGCAU
This 465-nucleotide ribosomal RNA is filed under the name uncultured bacterium. RNAcentral describes it as "bacterial SSU rRNA". It matches the Rfam family "Bacterial small subunit ribosomal RNA", at positions 355 to 825 of the family's 1533-position model. The record is from RNAcentral.